RNAcentral lists this ribosomal RNA (1133 nucleotides) under Vibrio alginolyticus. RNAcentral describes it as "partial 23S ribosomal RNA". It matches the Rfam family "Bacterial large subunit ribosomal RNA", at positions 1 to 1188 of the family's 2925-position model. Lineage: Bacteria; Pseudomonadati; Pseudomonadota; Gammaproteobacteria; Vibrionales; Vibrionaceae. The record is from RNAcentral.
GGUUAAGUGACUAAGCGUACACGGUGGAUGCCUUGGCAGUCAGAGGCGAUGAAGGACGUAUUAACUUGCGAUAAGCCCAGAUUAGGUAGUAAAAACCAUUUGAGUCUGGGAUUUCCGAAUGGGGAAACCCAAUACCAUAAGGUAUUACUGUUGAGUGAAUACAUAGCUCAACAGGGCGAACCGGGGGAACUGAAACAUCUAAGUACCCCGAGGAAAAGAAAUCAACCGAGAUUCCGAAAGUAGCGGCGAGCGAAAUUGGACUAGCCCUUAAGCUUUACACGCGUUAGACGAACAGCCUGGAAAGGCCGACGAUACAGGGUGAUAGUCCCGUAGUUGACGACGUGUGUUCAGUGAAAUCGAGUAGGGCGGGACACGUGAUAUCCUGUCUGAAUAUGGGGGGACCAUCCUCCAAGGCUAAAUACUACUGACUGACCGAUAGUGAACCAGUACCGUGAGGGAAAGGCGAAAAGAACCCCUGUGAGGGGAGUGAAAUAGAACCUGAAACCGUGUACGUACAAGCAGUAGGAGCAGGCUUUGUCCUGUGACUGCGUACCUUUUGUAUAAUGGGUCAGCGACUUAUAUUCAGUGGCAAGGUUAACCAUCUAGGGGAGCCGUAGGGAAACCGAGUCUUAACUGGGCGUUCAGUCUCUGGAUAUAGACCCGAAACCAGGUGAUCUAGCCAUGGGCAGGUUGAAGGUUGAGUAACAUCAACUGGAGGACCGAACCGACUAAUGUUGAAAAAUUAGCGGAUGACUUGUGGCUAGGGGUGAAAGGCCAAUCAAACCUGGAGAUAGCUGGUUCUCCCCGAAAGCUAUUUAGGUAGCGCCUCGGACGAAUACUACUGGGGGUAGAGCACUGUUAAGGCUAGGGGGUCAUCCCGACUUACCAACCCUUUGCAAACUCCGAAUACCAGUAAGUACUAUCCGGGAGACACACGGCGGGUGCUAACGUCCGUCGUGGAGAGGGAAACAACCCAGACCGCCAGCUAAGGUCCCAAAUUACUACUAAGUGGGAAACGAUGUGGGAAGGCUCAGACAGCCAGGAUGUUGGCUUAGAAGCAGCCAUCAUUUAAAGAAAGCGUAAUAGCUCACUGGUCGAGUCGGCCUGCGCGGAAGAUGUAACGGGGCUAAGUA